Chelonia mydas (Green sea turtle) is the source of this 1122-nucleotide long non-coding RNA. RefSeq lists it as uncharacterized. The transcript has 3 exons. NCBI's taxonomy places the organism in Eukaryota, Metazoa, Chordata, Testudines, Cheloniidae. The record is from RefSeq and is a predicted model, not a curated record.
CCUUAAAAAAAGAGAUGGCCCAGUUGAACUUUAACCCCUUCCUCUUCACCGGGUAGAAAAUUGCAGAGCCUGCAUGUGGUAAAACCCCAACUCUACCCAAAACGCUGAUAGGCAAUUACGUGGAGGGGAGCAUAGAGUCUGAAAAUAACCAAGUGCUCCGUGCUUUUGUACCCACACUGCUCUUACCGAGCCUGCCCACGUGACAGUGAGAAACUUUCCCUUCUCUGAGCUCCUCUGGCUUUGCUCCAUGGAUAUGUGACAACAAGAACCUGACGUUAUGGCUGCUCCCAGUUCCUUUCAUGUGCUGCAUUCUCUCUCCCAUCAAAUGGCCAAGACAGACUUGGCAGUUGUUCACUUCUGAGGAAAUGUACUGAGGCUGCUUCUUUGAUUGUACACUGUCAGCAAUCAGAACACAUCUCCACAUCCAGCAAGUUUGAACAGAUGCUUCUCUCUUGGGUUAUCAUUAGUCGUCAUCGUCAUCAUCAUCAUCACAAUUUUUACCAUGAUGGUCACACUUUGUGUUCAUUUCUAGCCUAGCGUUACUCUGUGUAACCACACCAGAUGUAAGAUGUGCAGUUUGCAGGAACUAAUUAUGCUGCAGCUUAUUUCUGAUACACACAAAAAUAUUUCAACACCUCAGCAGUUCUGGUGACCCCAGGUGAGAAGAUUUCUGUGAAGUCUGCGUCUGGUGAUGUGAAUGCAAAUGAAUAAGAGAGAAGAGCUAGAGAAAGAGAUAGGAAAGCUGUUCCCACUGCACCAAAGACUACCUGCCCAAUCUGUUUAUUUAAGCUAACUAUUUUAUCUUGGAUUCUGUACCACAUCCAUCCCAAUGCUAGGAGCACGUCACAGGUCCCAGCACCGCUCUGAGGAAGGAUGGAGAAGAUGCCCUCAUAAUGUGUGUUCUUCUAUAGUGCAUUUCCAACCACACAGCCCAAUGCAUUGCUUCAACCAUAGGUCAGCCCCACUUCUUGAGCCUGUAGAUAUGCGGCUAUAAGAAGCAUGAGCAAGGAUGGCUGGGAAGGGUAUCGCCCUCGGAGAAUUGCGUGGGCUGGGGGAAGACUUCAAAAGGAUAAUCUGUCCUAUGAGUGGGUACACAUGGGGAUUACAUCACCCCCCCGUUCU